GAGGACAUUGUCAGGUGGGGA
Molecule: non-coding RNA, 21 nt
Filed under: Arabidopsis thaliana (thale cress)
Lineage: Eukaryota; Viridiplantae; Streptophyta; Magnoliopsida; Brassicales; Brassicaceae
Source: RNAcentral